AGGGUUUGAUCCUGGCUCAGGACGAACGCUGGCGGCGCGCCUAACACAUGCAAGUCGAACGAGCGAGAGAGAGCUUGCUUUCUCGAGCGAGUGGCGAACGGGUGAGUAACGCGUGAGGAACCUGCCUCCAAGAGGGGGAUAACAUUCUGAAAAGAAUGCUAAUACCGCAUGACAUAUCGGAACCACAUGGUUUUGAUAUCAAAGAUUUUAUCGCUUGAAGAUGGACUCGCGUCCGAUUAGUUAGUUGGUGAGGUAACGGCUCACCAAGACCGCGAUCGGUAGCCGGACUGAGAGGUUGAACGGCCACAUUGGGACUGAGACACGGCCCAG
RNAcentral lists this ribosomal RNA (330 nucleotides) under uncultured bacterium. RNAcentral describes it as "bacterial SSU rRNA". It matches the Rfam family "Bacterial small subunit ribosomal RNA", at positions 8 to 334 of the family's 1533-position model. The record is from RNAcentral.